CAUAGCUUAGGAUGGCUUGAUAAACUAAGCUACAGGUAGUAGUAUUUUUUUUUCCAGUUUCAGUUUUAAUAGCUAACUCUUAAAUUGCCAUAAUGAAAUUCUCUUUCAGUUUCUGAAAAUUGAUUUUCAGAGUUUGUAAAUUCCAAAAAUUGUUGCCUUUUAUACCUAGUUUUUAGUAAAAAAUUACUAGUGCAGAAAUAGAAGAAUCAUCCCAUUAUAUUCAGCCCAAAGUACUUUCUUGCACUUCCCAUCUAUGCUUCUCAUUUCCUUUGCAUGGUA
RNAcentral lists this unclassified non-coding RNA (279 nucleotides) under Hevea brasiliensis (rubber tree). The record is from RNAcentral. Lineage: Eukaryota; Viridiplantae; Streptophyta; Magnoliopsida; Malpighiales; Euphorbiaceae.